AGAUUUAAUUUCCGUCUCAGUCAGGGACCCUGAAAGUGUUGAAGAAACCCUCCUCUCCUGCAAAGAGUUGAAUGUUUUGACUGUCCUCUGUAUGCUGCUGUAAUGGUGAUAAAAAGCAUACAGCCUGGAGCAUAGAUGUGUGAAAAGAGAUUAGGCAGUGUGUGAAAACACUUCCCACCAGCCAUUUGACAGGUUUUUUUUUUGAAAUGCUAUGUCAGUCCUAUGAAGCUGUUACCUUGGAAUUCACACCUAUUGGAUUCUACAUCCAGCUUCGUUUAUCUUUGGAAAAAUUUCAAGAUCGAAGGGACACAUGGGGAGAUAACAACUAUUAAUUGAGCACCUACUACCAGCCAGAAACAACUUUGGAGUAUUUCACAUUAGCAGGACACUCCCUGGGAAGGACCUAUCCAUCAAGCCUCAAAAUGACAGUCUCUGGAAAGGAGCCAAAAGAUUGAUCCUUCCCCAAAUAAAUCCUUUCCCAGUGACAGUACAAUAGACCCUGGAAGGAAAGAUACGCACUGGGUGAUGAACUCCGGACCGUCCAUUCUUGCCCAGUAAAAACAAAUUUCAAAUUCUCACAAACCGUUUCCUGAAUGCCCAAACCCAUAUGUUCUGUAAGGUCUUCCAUGGUUAAACCAUCUUCUAGUGUGUAACCUAUAUAAGCAUAGACUCCUUCUGUAACAGAGAGCCAUUUUCUACAGAAAGUGAGCCCCUCCAGUGCCUGAUUGAUUGGCUCUGCUGCAGAAUAAAAGACAACUUGCUGAUCCA
Ictidomys tridecemlineatus (thirteen-lined ground squirrel) is the source of this 768-nucleotide non-coding RNA. Lineage: Eukaryota; Metazoa; Chordata; Mammalia; Rodentia; Sciuridae. The record is from RefSeq and is a predicted model, not a curated record.